Molecule: transfer RNA, 85 nt
Filed under: Felis catus (domestic cat)
Lineage: Eukaryota; Metazoa; Chordata; Mammalia; Carnivora; Felidae
Also listed under: 1 other name
Rfam family: tRNA
About the family: Transfer RNA (tRNA) molecules are approximately 80 nucleotides in length. Their secondary structure includes four short double-helical elements and three loops (D, anti-codon, and T loops). Further hydrogen bonds mediate the characteristic L-shaped molecular structure. tRNAs have two regions of fundamental functional importance: the anti-codon, which is responsible for specific mRNA codon recognition, and the 3' end, to which the tRNAs corresponding amino acid is attached (by aminoacyl-tRNA synthetases). tRNAs cope with the degeneracy of the genetic code in two manners: having more than one tRNA (with a specific anti-codon) for a particular amino acid; and 'wobble' base-pairing, i.e. permitting non-standard base-pairing at the 3rd anti-codon position.
Source: Rfam by way of RNAcentral
GCCCGGGUGGCUCAGUCGGUUGAGCGUCCGACUUCGGCUCAGGUCAUGAUCUCACGGUUCGUGGGUUCGAGCCCCACGCGGGGCU